UAAACUAGGAUUAGAUACCCUAUUAUUUUAAAAUGUAAAUUUUUUAGGAUUAAGGUAUUAAAAGUUGAAUUCUUAAAAUUUAAAAAAUUUGGCGGUAUAUUAAUCUUUUCAGAGGAACCUGUCCUGUAAUUGAUAGUCCACGAUUAAAAUUAUUUUAUUUAAAAAUUUGUAUAUCGUUGUAAUUGAAUGUCUUUUUAGAGAGAAAAACGUUCAAGAUUUAAAAUUAUAAAUAAAAACAGAUCAAGGUGCAGUUUAUAAUAAAAUAGAGGUGGGUUACAAUAAAUUUAUAUUUAGAUGGUUAAAUUAUUUGAAAUUAAUUUUUAAAGUGGAUUUGAAUGUAACAUAAUUUAAUUAAAUUUUGUGAUUAAAGCUCUAAAAUAUGCACAUAUUGCCCGUCGCUUUCAUUUAUAAUUUAAAGUGAAAUAAGUCGUAACAAAGUAGGUGUACUGGAAAGUGUACCUGUAAUGAUUCAAAUUAGAGCUUGUGUAAAAAGUAUUUUAUUUACAUUAAAAAGUUAAUUGUGAAAAUCAGUUUAAUUUGAAUUUAUAAAUUUAUUUUUAUUUUUAUUUAUAAAUUUUUAAAAAAAAUAUUUUUAUUUUUGGUAAAUUUUAAGGACAAAUUUUUUUUAAUAAUAGUUAAAAGUAUAGUAAUAGAAGAUUUAAAUAUUUGAAAUAUUAAAAAUUUUUAAAAGAAAAAUUGAGUUUUGUACCUUGUGUAUCAGGGUUUAUUAAAAAUAGAUUAUUUAUUUAAUUUUCUCGAAUUACAAAGAGUUAAGAAAUUAUAAAUUUUAUUGUAAAAUAAAUAUUUUUUAUAAUUUUUUAGUAAUGAAAUGUUAUUCGUUUUUUAGGAUAUCUAGUUUUUUAAGAAAUAAAUUUAAUUUAGUUAAUUUUUAUAAUUAUUUUUAUUUUAUAAAUUUAGUUUAAAUAUUAAUUAAUAUUUUAAGGGAUAAGCUUUAAAAUAAAAUUUUAUAAAUAAUAGUUUAAUUUGUUUAGUAAUGUAGGAUUAGAAUUUUUUUUCAUUAUAUUAUGUUAUAAUUAUAUUAAGAGUAAAUUUGAUUUUUAUUAAAUUUUAAAUUUUUUAUUAAAAUUAUUUAUUUAAUAAUAAAAUAUUUGUAAUAAUGAUAAAAUUAGUAUAAUUAUAUUGAUGUUUAGUAAAAUUAGAUUUGAAAGGUUAAUUUAAGGAAUUCGGCAAUAAUUUUUUCCGCCUGUUUAAUAAAAACAUGGCUUUUUGAUUAUAAUUUAAAGUCUAGCCUGCCCAAUGAUUUAUUUGAAUGGCCGCAGUAUUUUGACUGUGCAAAGGUAGCAUAAUAAUUUGUUUUUUAAAUGGAAACUGGUAUGAAUGGUUGGACGAGAAAAAGACUGUCUCAAUUUAAUUUAAUUAGAAAUUUAUUUUUAAGUAAAAAAGCUUAAAUAAUUUUAAAAGACGAGAAGACCCUAUAGAGUUUUAUAUUUAAUUUAAAAUUUAAAUUUAAAGUAUUAAAAAGUUUAUAUUAGAUUAAGUAUUUGGUUGGGGUGAUUAAAAAAUUUAAUGAACUUUUUUUAAGUAAUUUACAUUGAUUUAUGAUUAUAUGAUCCAUUAAUAAUGAUUAAAAGUUUAAAUUACCUUAGGGAUAACAGCGUAAUUUUUUUUGAGAGUUCUUAUCGAAAAAAAAGUUUGCGACCUCGAUGUUGGAUUAAAAUUAAUUUUUGGUGUAGAAGCC
This 1699-nucleotide ribosomal RNA is filed under the name Podotenus sp. NLG-2014. Its description in RNAcentral is "partial 16S ribosomal RNA". The record is from RNAcentral. Lineage: Eukaryota; Metazoa; Arthropoda; Insecta; Coleoptera; Scarabaeidae.